RNAcentral lists this ribosomal RNA (788 nucleotides) under Paurocephala sp. 2 LS-2020. Its description in RNAcentral is "partial small subunit ribosomal RNA". The record is from RNAcentral. Lineage: Eukaryota; Metazoa; Arthropoda; Insecta; Hemiptera; Liviidae.
UUUAUAUUUUUUAUAUAAGUGAAAAAGGAUUUAAUAGUAAAUUUAUUUAAUAGAAAUUUAAUGAAUUAAGAUUCUGAAAUAUGUACACAUUGCCCGUCGCUCUUAUUUAAAAUAAGAUAAGUCGUAACAUAGUAAGUGUACCGGAAGGUGUACUUGGAAAUUGAGUAAAUAGUUUAAUUAAAGCUUAUUAUUUACAUUAAUAUGAUAUCUUGUAAGAUUUUACUUUUUAGUUAUAUUAUGCAGUUUAAAAUUUUUUAAUUUAUUAUUGUGAAGGGGAGAUCACUUUAUAUUUAUUAGAAAAUUAAAAAUUGUACCUUUGGUAUCAGGGAUAAUUGAAAUUUAUUUUUUAUUAAGUUUUCUCGAAAAAAAAAGAUUUAAAUAUUUAUAAACUUUUUUGUGUAAAAAAAUAUUUUCAUAAAUAUUUAGUAAUGAUAAGUUAUACAAUUUUUUAUAUCUGGUUGCUUAAAGAUUAAUUUAAUUAAUAUAAAUUUCGUUUGUUGAAAAAUUAAAAAUUUGUUUGGGGAUAAUCUUGGAUUAAAUUAAUAGAUAAUUUAUGUGUAUGAUUGUUAAGUUUAAAAUUAUUUGAUUUAUAUGUUAAAAUUAAUCAUAAAAUAUUUAAUUUUAUAAAGUUUCUUUAAGGGGAGUUAAAGUAAACUAAUUUAAUAAUUAAAUUAUUAUAAUUAUGAUUAUAUUAGUAGAUUGAAUUAAUUAAUAGAUAAGAAUUCGGCAAAUUAAAAUUUCGUCUGUUUAUCAAAAACAUCUUUAUAAGAUUAUAUGUUUAUAAUAAU